RNAcentral lists this unclassified non-coding RNA (150 nucleotides) under Cladosporium cladosporioides. Its description in RNAcentral is "ITS2". The record is from RNAcentral. Lineage: Eukaryota; Fungi; Ascomycota; Dothideomycetes; Cladosporiales; Cladosporiaceae.
CACCACUCAAGCCUCGCUUGGUAUUGGGCAACGCGGUCCGCCGCGUGCCUCAAAUCGACCGGCUGGGUCUUCUGUCCCCUAAGCGUUGUGGAAACUAUUCGCUAAAGGGUGCUCGGGAGGCUACGCCGUAAAACAACCCCAUUUCUAAGG